Molecule: unclassified non-coding RNA, 275 nt
Filed under: Hevea brasiliensis (rubber tree)
Lineage: Eukaryota; Viridiplantae; Streptophyta; Magnoliopsida; Malpighiales; Euphorbiaceae
Source: RNAcentral
AAAAAAAAAAAAAAAAAAUCUAAAGUGAAGUGCCAGAUCACAACUUUUUUCCAAAAAAAAUUCAACAAAAAUUUAUGAACUUUUAUCUACUUGGCUGGAGUUCAUGCUCAUUUUUGUUUAAUAUAUUUCCUGAAUUUUUUGUUCCCCACUUCUCUCUUAUUGUUGAAACGCCAUGUAAUCAUUGUAAAUGUAUAAGAUCAUGAUCCCUAGAUCCAGGUUUUAUACUUUUCUUACAUUUGUUUUGUGUACAGUAUCCUAACUCCUUACUACGAUGA